RNAcentral lists this ribosomal RNA (459 nucleotides) under Brucella anthropi. Its description in RNAcentral is "bacterial SSU rRNA". It matches the Rfam family "Bacterial small subunit ribosomal RNA", at positions 372 to 847 of the family's 1533-position model. Lineage: Bacteria; Pseudomonadati; Pseudomonadota; Alphaproteobacteria; Hyphomicrobiales; Brucellaceae. The record is from RNAcentral.
UGGGCGCAAGCCUGAUCCAGCCAUGCCGCGUGAGUGAUGAAGGCCCUAGGGUUGUAAAGCUCUUUCACCGGUGAAGAUAAUGACGGUAACCGGAGAAGAAGCCCCGGCUAACUUCGUGCCAGCAGCCGCGGUANUACGAAGGGGGCUAGCGUUGUUCGGAUUUACUGGGCGUAAAGCGCACGUAGGCGGACUUUUAAGUCAGGGGUGAAAUCCCGGGGCUCAACCCCGGAACUGCCUUUGAUACUGGAAGUCUUGAGUAUGGAAGAGGUGAGUGGAAUUCCGAGUGUAGAGGUGAAAUUCGUAAAUAUUCGGAGGAACACCAUUGGCGAAGGCGGCUCACUGGUCCAUUACUGACGCUGAGGUGCGAAAGCGUGGGGAGCAAACAGGAUUANAUACCCUGGUAUCCACGCCGUAAACGAUGAAAUGUUANCCGUUGGGGAANUUUACUCUUUCGGUGGC